This 69-nucleotide transfer RNA is filed under the name Ictidomys tridecemlineatus (thirteen-lined ground squirrel). RNAcentral describes it as "Spermophilus tridecemlineatus (thirteen-lined ground squirrel) tRNA". It matches the Rfam family "tRNA". From Rfam's summary of the family: Transfer RNA (tRNA) molecules are approximately 80 nucleotides in length. Their secondary structure includes four short double-helical elements and three loops (D, anti-codon, and T loops). The record is from Rfam by way of RNAcentral. Lineage: Eukaryota; Metazoa; Chordata; Mammalia; Rodentia; Sciuridae.
GGGAUUGUGGUUCAGUGGUAGAGCGCUUGUUUAGCACAUAUGAGGCAUUGGGUUUGAUUCUCAACACCA